RNAcentral lists this long non-coding RNA (388 nucleotides) under Junco hyemalis (dark-eyed junco). RNAcentral describes it as "lncRNA (ENSJHYG00000001919.1)". The record is from RNAcentral. Lineage: Eukaryota; Metazoa; Chordata; Aves; Passeriformes; Passerellidae.
UGCAUUCCUCCGGUUGACAAGGGUUUGACGAGUCCUGCAAAGCUCCUUUAUAUUAAUCAGCCACCGAGGGCUUUCCUCCCUCUGUCUGCAAAAGAAGCGCCCGCUGCCUCUGCUGUUUGUAAACACGGGCGCAUUUCUCUGAACGGGGUCUGUAGCUCGCCCCUUCAGGAUUACCCUGCUCUGCCUUUGGCCUCUGAGGGACAUAUGAAGUUGGUGGUCCCAGGAUUUCAGAGUGAGCAGAAUGAAAUUGCUGAGGUGCGAGAGUGAGAGCACAGAAGGCAGAUAGAGAGGAGGGAGAUGACUUGUUUGUCUGGUUUUACUAGGUCAGCUUUGGGUGACACUGCAGGGCACAUGGCUUUGAGCAGACAAACUUAGGGCAGGACUUUAC